UACGUAGGGUGCGAGCGUUGUCCGGAAUUAUUGGGCGUAAAGAGCUCGUAGGCGGUGUGUCACGUCGGCCGUGAAAACCUGCAGCUUAACUGUGGGCGUGCGGUCGAUACGGGCAUCACUGGAGUUCGGCAGGGGAGACUGGAAUUCCUGGUGUAGCGGUGAAAUGCGCAGAUAUCAGGAGGAACACCGGUGGCGAAGGCGGUUCUCUGGGCCGUAACUGACGCUGAGGAGCGAAAGCAUGGGGAGCGAACAGG
Molecule: ribosomal RNA, 254 nt
Filed under: uncultured bacterium
Lineage: Bacteria
Description: partial 16S ribosomal RNA
Rfam family: Bacterial small subunit ribosomal RNA
Source: RNAcentral